This 485-nucleotide ribosomal RNA is filed under the name Actinospica acidiphila. Its description in RNAcentral is "partial 23S ribosomal RNA". It matches the Rfam family "Bacterial large subunit ribosomal RNA", at positions 2447 to 2925 of the family's 2925-position model. Lineage: Bacteria; Bacillati; Actinomycetota; Actinomycetes; Catenulisporales; Actinospicaceae. The record is from RNAcentral.
GCUCAACGGAUAAAAGGUACCCCGGGGAUAACAGGCUGAUCUUCCCCAAGAGUCCAUAUCGACGGGAUGGUUUGGCACCUCGAUGUCGGCUCGUCGCAUCCUGGGGCUGGAGUCGGUCCCAAGGGUUGGGCUGUUCGCCCAUUAAAGCGGUACGCGAGCUGGGUUUAGAACGUCGUGAGACAGUUCGGUCCCUAUCCGCUGUGCGCGUAGGAGUCUUGAGAAGGGCUGUCCCUAGUACGAGAGGACCGGGACGGACGAACCUCUGGUGUGCCAGUUGUUCUGCCAAGGGCAUGGCUGGUUGGCUACGUUCGGGAGGGAUAACCGCUGAAAGCAUCUAAGCGGGAAGCCUGCUUCGAGAUGAGGACUCCCACCUCCUAGAGAGGGUAAGGCUCCCAGUAGACGACUGGGUUGAUAGGCCGGAUAUGGAAGCACGGUAACGUGUGGAGUUGACCGGUACUAAUAGGCCGAGGGCUUGUCCUCAGUUG